AGAUGCGUGUUUACGGUUAGGAAUUAUUUUCGCCCUUAAAUUUUCUCUUUCUGUAUUCAGCAGUCUCAGACUUUUUCGGUGGCAUUCCUGCAUAUUAUGUAUUCGUUCUAACGUGCAAAUAUGUGGUGGGAAAAAAAUGCGCCGUUUUGUUUUCCUACUCUGUCAUAGCAUACAAUGAUGCAUCCAAUACGAUCGACACCAAAGAUCCUGACUUCCAACUUCCUGGAUCCUGUCUAAACAAAGAAGGUUGAACUAACGAAGCAACAGUAAUGCGCGUGACCAUGCAAAAGACGGUGACGGCUGAAUACAUCCGGAGUUACUCGCGUGGGCACCGAAUUGAUAAACGCAGCCAAAGGUGGAAUUCCGCCUGGCACACUAAAGAAAUUAAGUUUGAAACCAGGAAACCAGCCACAGGAGGUGAUCGAGUAGAAAUGGAGCUUCUAACGUCACCGCUGGAAGCUUUGCCAGAAGAAGAAAGAAACAGAAAUAUAAGAAAUACUAGGCAUAUGCAAAAGCACGGGAACGGCGAAUAGUGUGCGCAUGACGCAAGAACGGCCAAACCAGGCGUCCAUUCCUCUAGGGAACCUCGCACAAGCUCGACUUCAGGGCAGGGUUGGCUU
This is a long non-coding RNA of Dermacentor albipictus, 620 nucleotides long. RefSeq lists it as uncharacterized. The record is from RefSeq and is a predicted model, not a curated record. Lineage: Eukaryota; Metazoa; Arthropoda; Arachnida; Ixodida; Ixodidae.